This 484-nucleotide ribosomal RNA is filed under the name uncultured bacterium. Its description in RNAcentral is "partial 16S ribosomal RNA". It matches the Rfam family "Bacterial small subunit ribosomal RNA", at positions 29 to 523 of the family's 1533-position model. The record is from RNAcentral.
AGUGAACGCUGGCGGCGUGCUUAACACAUGCAAGUCGAACGAGAACGGAUUAUAUCUUGCUAUAAUUGUCAGCUAAGUGGCGCACGGGUGAGUAAUGUAUAGGUAAUAUGCCUCUUACUAAGGGAUAACAAAUGGAAACGUUUGCUAAUACCUUAUACUCCUUAUUAACAGAAGUUAAUUAGGGAAAGAUUUAUUGGUAAGAGAUUAGCCUGUAUUGUAUCAGUUAGUUGGUGGGGUAAUGGCUUACCAAGACUAUGACACAUAACUGGUUUGAGAGGAUGAUCAGUCACACUGGAACUGGGACACGGUCCAGACUCCUACAGGAGGCAGCAGUGGGGAAUAUUGCACAAUGGACGAAAGUCUGAUGCAGCAUCGCCGCGUGGAGGAUGACACAUUUCGGUGCGUAAACUCCUUUUAUAUGAGAAGAUAAUGACGGUAUUAUAUGAAUAAGCACCGGCUAACUCCGUGCCAGCAGCCGCAGUAA